This 1436-nucleotide ribosomal RNA is filed under the name Ralstonia solanacearum. Its description in RNAcentral is "bacterial SSU rRNA". Lineage: Bacteria; Pseudomonadati; Pseudomonadota; Betaproteobacteria; Burkholderiales; Burkholderiaceae. The record is from RNAcentral. RNAcentral also lists the same sequence under 1 other name.
GGGGGGCUGCUUACACAUGCAGUCGAACGGCAGCGGGGGUAGCUUGCUACCUGCCGGCGAGUGGCGAACGGGUGAGUAAUACAUCGGAACGUGCCCUGUAGUGGGGGAUAACUAGUCGAAAGACUAGCUAAUACCGCAUACGACCUGAGGGUGAAAGUGGGGGACCGCAAGGCCUCAUGCUAUAGGAGCGGCCGAUGUCUGAUUAGCUAGUUGGUGGGGUAAAGGCCCACCAAGGCGACGAUCAGUAGCUGGUCUGAGAGGACGAUCAGCCACACUGGGACUGAGACACGGCCCAGRCUCCUACGGGAGGCAGCAGUGGGGAAUUUUGGACAAUGGGGGCAACCCUGAUCCAGCAAUGCCGCGUGUGUGAAGAAGGCCUUCGGGUUGUAAAGCACUUUUGUCCGGAAAGAAAUCGCACUGGUUAAUACCUGGUGUGGAUGACGGUACCGGAAGAAUAAGGACCGGCUAACUACGUGCCAGCAGCCGCGGUAAUACGUAGGGUCCAAGCGUUAAUCGGAAUUACUGGGCGUAAAGCGUGCGCAGGCGGUUGUGCAAGACCGAUGUGAAAUCCCCGGGCUUAACCUGGGAAUUGCAUUGGUGACUGCACGGCUAGAGUGUGUCAGAGGGAGGUAGAAUUCCACGUGUAGCAGUGAAAUGCGUAGAGAUGUGGAGGAAUACCGAUGGCGAAGGCAGCCUCCUGGGAUAACACUGACGCUCAUGCACGAAAGCGUGGGGAGCAAACAGGAUUAGAUACCCUGGUAGUCCACGCCCUAAACGAUGUCAACUAGUUGUUGGGGAUUCAUUUCCUUAGUAACGUAGCUAACGCGUGAAGUUGACCGCCUGGGGAGUACGGUCGCAAGAUUAAAACUCAAAGGAAUUGACGGGGACCCGCACAAGCGGUGGAUGAUGUGGAUUAAUUCGAUGCAACGCGAAAAACCUUACCUACCCUUGACAUGCCACUAACGAAGCAGAGAUGCAUUAGGUGCUCGAAAGAGAAAGUGGACACAGGUGCUGCAUGGCUGUCGUCAGCUCGUGUCGUGAGAUGUUGGGUUAAGUCCCGCAACGAGCGCAACCCUUGUCUCUAGUUGCUACGAAAGGGCACUCUAGAGAAGACUGCCGGUGACAAACCGGGAGGAARGUKGGGAUGACGUCAAGUCCUCAUGGCCCUUAUGGGUAGGGCUUCACACGUCAUACAAUGGUGCAUACAGAGGGUUGCCAAGCCGCGAGGUGGAGCUAAUCCCAGAAAAUGCAUCGUAGUCCGGAUCGUAGUCUGCAACUCGACUACGUGAAGCUGGAAUCGCUAGUAAUCGCGGAUCAGCAUGCCGCGGUGAAUACGUUCCCGGGUCUUGUACACACCGCCCGUCACACCAUGGGAGUGGGCUUUACCAGAAGUAGUUAGCCUAACCGUAGGGGGGGGCCAGAAUAACCCCGCCCGG